This 633-nucleotide ribosomal RNA is filed under the name uncultured marine eukaryote. RNAcentral's name for it is "SSU rRNA". It matches the Rfam family "Eukaryotic small subunit ribosomal RNA", at positions 614 to 1248 of the family's 1831-position model. The record is from RNAcentral.
UGUGGUUAAAAAGCUCGUAGUUGGAUCUCAACAGCCUUGAAGCGGUUAACUUUGUAGUUUUACUGCUUUAUAGGCUGUGCUUUUGCUGGAGGUUUAGGGGUGCUCUUGAUCGAGUGUCUCUGGAUGCCAGCAGGUUUACUUUGAAAAAAUUAGAGUGCUCAAAGCAGGCUAAAAUGCCUGAAUAUUCGUGCAUGGAAUAAUAGAAUAGGAUGUCGAUCCUAUUUUGUUGGUUUUCGGGACUCGACAUAAUGAUAAAUAGGGACAGUCGGGGGCAUUUGUAUUCAAACGACAGAGGUGAAAUUCUUGGACCGUUUGAAGACAAACUACUGCGAAAGCAUUUGCCAAGAAUGUUUUCAUUAAUCAAGAACGAAAGUUAGAGGUUCGAAGGCGAUUAGAUACCGCCCUAGUUCUAACCAUAAACGAUGCCAGCUAGCGAUCUGCCUGCGUUUUUACUGUAGACUGGGCAGGAAGCUUCCGGGAAACCAAAGCAUUUGGGUUCCAGGGGAAGUAUGGUUGCAAAGCUGAAACUUAAAGGAAUUGACGGAAGGGCACCACCAGGAGUGGAGCCUGUGGCUUAAUUUGACUCAACACGGGAAAUCUCACCAGGCCCGGACACUGGAAGGAUUGACAGAU